CACACCGCCCGUCACACCAUGGAAGUUGGUUGCACCAGAAGUCGGUCGCUUAACCGCAAGGAGAGCGCCGCCCCACGGUGUGGCUAAUGACUGGGGUG
This 98-nucleotide ribosomal RNA is filed under the name uncultured bacterium. Its description in RNAcentral is "partial 16S ribosomal RNA". It matches the Rfam family "Bacterial small subunit ribosomal RNA", at positions 1386 to 1482 of the family's 1533-position model. The record is from RNAcentral.